ACAAUUUAAAAAAAAUUCAAGAAUAACGUGGAAUCGCUGAAGUGGAACCGGAGAGAGUUAACAUAACUUGGUAGCUAUAUUCUCUAUAGUCGCUUAGCUGUGGCUUUGGGGGGUGGACGCUACCUGUUGUUGCGCUGACUGCGUUGAUCAUGCUUUCCUAACAAUGUAGUGUUGCCCACAUUGUGGUGUCUUGCUUAUUGGGAGGUUUGUCAUGGUUAACGUCAAGCCUUAGUUUCUAGGGAGUCAGUGUGAAAGUUAACCACCUUUCCGACCCGUCUUGAAACACGGACCGAGGAGUGUAAUUUACACGCGAGUCAAAGGGCUGAGGAAACCUUAUGGCAUAAUGAAAGUAAAGACCGGUUAACCGGUUGACAUGGGAUCCGACUGAACUUCUUCAAAACGGAGCACCAUGGCCCUGUCUUGUCUGCUUGCAGAUGGGCAGCGGUAGAGCGUGUAGGUUGCGACCCGAAAGAUGGUGAACUAUGCUUGAGCAGGACAAAGCCAGAGGAAACUCUGGUGGAAGUCCUUAUCCUUUCUGACGUGCAAAUCGAUCGAUAUACUUGAGUAGAGGGGCGAAAAACUAAUCGAACCAUCUAGUACCUGGUGCCUUAAAAAAAAAA
RNAcentral lists this ribosomal RNA (620 nucleotides) under Heterorhabditis indica. RNAcentral describes it as "partial large subunit ribosomal RNA". It matches the Rfam family "Eukaryotic large subunit ribosomal RNA", at positions 370 to 970 of the family's 3401-position model. The record is from RNAcentral. Lineage: Eukaryota; Metazoa; Nematoda; Chromadorea; Rhabditida; Heterorhabditidae.